CUACGGGUCGCUGCAGUGGGGAAUAUUGCACAAUGGAGGAAACUCUGAUGCAGCAACGCCGCGUGGAGGAUGACACUUUUCGGAGCGUAAACUCCUUUUAUAUAGGAAGAUAAUGACGGUACUAUAUGAAUAAGCACCGGCUAACUCCGUGCCAGCAGCCGCGGUAAUACGGAGGGUGCAAGCGUUACUCGGAAUCACUGGGCGUAAAGAGCGUGUAGGCGGGUUAAUAAGUCAGAAGUGAAAUCCUAUGGCUCAACCAUAGAACUGCUUUUGAAACUGUUAACCUAGAGUGUGGGAGAGGUAGAUGGAAUUUCUGGUGUAGGGGUAAAAUCCGUAGAGAUCAGAAGGAAUACCGAUUGCGAAGGCGAUCUACUGGAACAUAACUGACGCUGAGACGCGAAAGCGUGGGGAGCAAACAGGGUUAGAUACCCCCGUAGUC
This 439-nucleotide ribosomal RNA is filed under the name uncultured bacterium. RNAcentral describes it as "partial 16S ribosomal RNA". It matches the Rfam family "Bacterial small subunit ribosomal RNA", at positions 339 to 795 of the family's 1533-position model. The record is from RNAcentral.